UGGCGAGGGUGUGCUAUACAUGCAAGUCGAACGCGUUGGCCCAAUUGAUUGAUGGUGCUUGCACCUGAUUGAUUUUGGUCGCCAACGAGUGGCGGACGGGUGAGUAACACGUAGGUAACCUGCCCAGAAGCGGGGGACAACAUUUGGAAACAGAUGCUAAUACCGCAUAACAGCGUUGUUCGCAUGAACAACGCUUAAAAGAUGGCUUCUCGCUAUCACUUCUGGAUGGACCUGCGGUGCAUUAGCUUGUUGGUGGGGUAACGGCCUACCAAGGCGAUGAUGCAUAGCCGAGUUGAGAGACUGAUCGGCCACAAUGGGACUGAGACACGGCCCAUACUCCUACGGGAGGCAGCAGUAGGGAAUCUUCCACAAUGGGCGCAAGCCUGAUGGAGCAACACCGCGUGAGUGAAGAAGGGUUUCGGCUCGUAAAGCUCUGUUGUUAAAGAAGAACACGUAUGAGAGUAACUGUUCAUACGUUGACGGUAUUUAACCAGAAAGUCACGGCUAACUACGUGCCAGCAGCCGCGGUAAUACGUAGGUGGCAAGCGUUAUCCGGAUUUAUUGGGCGUAAAGAGAGUGCAGGCGGUUUUCUAAGUCUGAUGUGAAAGCCUUCGGCUUAACCGGAGAAGUGCAUCGGAAACUGGAUAACUUGAGUGCAGAAGAGGGUAGUGGAACUCCAUGUGUAGCGGUGGAAUGCGUAGAUAUAUGGAAGAACACCAGUGGCGAAGGCGGCUACCUGGUCUGCAACUGACGCUGAGACUCGAAAGCAUGGGUAGCGAACAGGAUUAGAUACCCUGGUAGUCCAUGCCGUAAACGAUGAGUGCUAGGUGUUGGAGGGUUUCCGCCCUUCAGUGCCGGAGCUAACGCAUUAAGCACUCCGCCUGGGGAGUACGACCGCAAGGUUGAAACUCAAAGGAAUUGACGGGGGCCCGCACAAGCGGUGGAGCAUGUGGUUUAAUUCGAAGCUACGCGAAGAACCUUACCAGGUCUUGACAUCUUGCGCCAACCCUAGAGAUAGGGCGUUUCCUUCGGGAACGCAAUGACAGGUGGUGCAUGGUCGUCGUCAGCUCGUGUCGUGAGAUGUUGGGUUAAGUCCCGCAACGAGCGCAACCCUUGUUACUAGUUGCCAGCAUUAAGUUGGGCACUCUAGUGAGACUGCCGGUGACAAACCGGAGGAAGGUGGGGACGACGUCAGAUCAUCAUGCCCCUUAUGACCUGGGCUACACACGUGCUACAAUGGACGGUACAACGAGUCGCGAACUCGCGAGGGCAAGCAAAUCUCUUAAAACCGUUCUCAGUUCGGACUGCAGGCUGCAACUCGCCUGCACGAAGUCGGAAUCGCUAGUAAUCGCGGAUCAGCAUGCCGCGGUGAAUACGUUCCCGGGCCUUGUACACACCGCCCGUCACACCAUGAGAGUUUGUAACACCCAAAGUCGGUGGGGUAACCUUUUAGGAGCCAGCCGCCUAAGGUGACAGAUAUG
This 1481-nucleotide ribosomal RNA is filed under the name Limosilactobacillus fermentum. RNAcentral's name for it is "bacterial SSU rRNA". It matches the Rfam family "Bacterial small subunit ribosomal RNA". Lineage: Bacteria; Bacillati; Bacillota; Bacilli; Lactobacillales; Lactobacillaceae. The record is from RNAcentral.